CUGAAACCGUGUACGUACAAGCAGUGGGAGCACGCUUAGGCGUGUGACUGCGUACCUUUUGUAUAAUGGGUCAGCGACUUAUAUUCUGUAGCAAGGUUAACCGAAUAGGGGAGCCGAAGGGAAACCGAGUCUUAACUGGGCGUUAAGUUGCAGGGUAUAGACCCGAAACCCGGUGAUCUAGCCAUGGGCAGGUUGAAGGUUGGGUAACACUAACUGGAGGACCGAACCGACUAAUGUUGAAAAAUUAGCGGAUGACUUGUGGCUGGGGGUGAAAGGCCAAUCAAACCGGGAGAUAGCUGGUUCUCCCCGAAAGCUAUUUAGGUAGCGCCUCGUGAAUUCAUCUCCGGGGGUAGAGCACUGUUUCGGCAAGGGGGUCAUCCCGACUUACCAACCCGAUGCAAACUGCGAAUACCGGAGAAUGUUAUCACGGGAGACACACGGCGGGUGCUAACGUCCGUCGUGAAGAGGGAAACAACCCAGACCGCCAGCUAAGGUCCCAAAGUCAUGGUUAAGUGGGAAACGAUGUGGGAAGGCCCAGACAGCCAGGAUGUUGGCUUAGAAGCAGCCAUCAUUUAAAGAAAGCGUAAUAGCUCACUGGUCGAGUCGGCCUGCGCGGAAGAUGUAACGGGGCUAAACCAUGCACCGAAGCUGCGGCAGCGACGCUUAUG
Molecule: ribosomal RNA, 668 nt
Filed under: Escherichia coli
Lineage: Bacteria; Pseudomonadati; Pseudomonadota; Gammaproteobacteria; Enterobacterales; Enterobacteriaceae
Description: partial 23S ribosomal RNA
Rfam family: Bacterial large subunit ribosomal RNA
Source: RNAcentral